This 118-nucleotide ribosomal RNA is filed under the name Castor canadensis (American beaver). The record is from RNAcentral. Lineage: Eukaryota; Metazoa; Chordata; Mammalia; Rodentia; Castoridae.
GUCUAUGGCCAUACCACCCCAGCCGCUCCUGAUCUUGUCUGGUCUUGGAAGCUAAGCAGGGUCAGGCCUGGUUGGUACUUGGAUGGGAGAGGUACUUGGAUCAUGAGGACCCUGGAAA